AAAAAUGGUUUCCAUCAACAAAAGGCAGCCCGGGCAGGAGGUGGGGGCCACCAGACUGGGUUGGCCCUCGGUAGGGUUCAGCCAAAGCACGAGCCCAAGGGCUGGGUGAUGGCGUCAGCCUUUCAGCUUUGAAAUUUGUUUUACCGUUUUCACGUGUCGGCGUCUGGGCUCUCCGAUCUGAUUUUUUUCCUUCAAUCCAACGGCAGCCAAUUUUUGUGCAAUAAAAAAUUUAAAAAAAUGGAAAUUUUUUAAAAAAAAUUACUGAUUUUUUUCUCUAUACCUUAUUUUCAUUUUCAACAUUGAAGUAAAUGUCUUUGUCCUUU
This 323-nucleotide long non-coding RNA is filed under the name Prunus persica (peach). RNAcentral's name for it is "long non-coding RNA (PPER_LNC007438)". The record is from RNAcentral. Lineage: Eukaryota; Viridiplantae; Streptophyta; Magnoliopsida; Rosales; Rosaceae.